RNAcentral lists this ribosomal RNA (497 nucleotides) under uncultured bacterium. RNAcentral's name for it is "partial 16S ribosomal RNA". It matches the Rfam family "Bacterial small subunit ribosomal RNA", at positions 28 to 507 of the family's 1533-position model. The record is from RNAcentral.
GACGAACGCUGGCGGCGUGCCUAAUACAUGCAAGUUGAGCGCUGAAGGUUGGUACUUGUACCAACUGGAUGAGCAGCGAACGGGUGAGUAACGCGUGGGGAAUCUGCCUUUGAGCGGGGGACAACAUUUGGAAACGAAUGCUAAUACCGCAUAAAAACUUUAAACACAAGUUGUAAGUUUGAAAGAUGCAAUUGCAUCACUCAAAGAUGAUCCCGCGUUGUAUUAGCUAGUUGGUGAGGUAAAGGCUCACCAAGGCGAUGAUACAUAGCCGACCUGAGAGGGUGAUCGGCCACAUUGGGACUGAGACACGGCCCAAACGCCUACGGGAGGCAGCAGUAGGGAAGCUUCGGCAAUGGACGAAAGUCUGACCGAGCAACGCCGAGUGAGUGAAGAAGGUUUUCGGAUCGUAAAACUCUGUUGGUAGAGAAGAACGUUGGUGAGAGUGGAAAGCUCAUCAAGUGACGGUAACUACCCAGAAAGGGACGGCUAACUACGUG